RNAcentral lists this ribosomal RNA (492 nucleotides) under uncultured bacterium. Its description in RNAcentral is "partial 16S ribosomal RNA". It matches the Rfam family "Bacterial small subunit ribosomal RNA", at positions 29 to 507 of the family's 1533-position model. The record is from RNAcentral.
AGUGAACGCUGGCGGCAGGCCUAACACAUGCAAGUCGAACGGCAGCACAGUAAGAGCUUGCUCUUACGGGUGGCGAGUGGCGGACGGGUGAGGAAUACAUCGGAAUCUACUUUUUCGUGGGGGAUAACGUAGGGAAACUUACGCUAAUACCGCAUACGACCUACGGGUGAAAGCAGGGGAGCUUCGGACCUUGCGCGAUUGAAUGAGCCGAUGUCGGAUUAGCUAGUUGGCGGGGUAAAGGCCCACCAAGGCGACGAUCCGUAGCUGGUCUGAGAGGAUGAUCAGCCACACUGGAACUGAGACACGGUCCAGACUCCUACGGGAGGCAGCAGUGGGGAAUAUUGGACAAUGGGCGCAAGCCUGAUCCAGCCAUACCGCGUGGGUGAAGAAGGCCUUCGGGUUGUAAAGCCCUUUUGUUGGGGAAGAAAAGCAGCAGGUUAAUACCCCGCUGUUCUGACGGUACCCAAAGAAUAAGCACCGGCUAACUUCGUG